Molecule: ribosomal RNA, 978 nt
Filed under: uncultured bacterium
Lineage: Bacteria
Description: bacterial SSU rRNA
Rfam family: Bacterial small subunit ribosomal RNA
Source: RNAcentral
AGAGUUUGAUCCUGGCUCAGGGCGAACGCUGGCGGCGUGCCUAAAACAUGCAAGUCGAGCGGGGGUUGGCCGCGGGGCAACCCGCGGUUUCAGCUCUAGCGGCGAACGGGUGAGUAACACGUGGGCAACCUGCCCCGAAGACGGGGAUAACCUCGGGAAACCGGGGCUAAUACCCGAUACCCUCCCCUGGGGGCAUCCCCGGGAGAGGAAAGGGUUGGGCGCAAGCCCUUCCGCUUCGGGAUGGGCCCGCGGCCUAUCAGCUCGUUGGUGGGGUAACGGCCCACCAAGGCGAUGACGGGUAGCUGGCCUGAGAGGGUGGUCAGCCACACUGGGACUGAGACACGGCCCAGACUCCUACGGGAGGCAGCAGUUGGGAAUCUUGGGCAAUGGGCGCAAGCCUGACCCAGCGACGCCGCGUGGGGGAUGAAGGCCUUCGGGUUGUAACCCCCUGUCAGGAGGGACGAAGCCCACUCCUCGAGGGUGGGUGACGGUACCUCCAGAGGAAGCCCCGGCUAACUACGUGCCAGCAGCCGCGGUAAGACGUAGGGGGCGAGCGUUGCCCGGAUUUACUGGGCGUAAAGCGGGUGUAGGCGGCCGGGUAAGUCCCGUGUGAAAGCCCACGGCUCAACCGUGGGACGUCGCGGGAAACUGCUCGGCUUGAGGGCAGCAGAGGGUGGUGGAAUUCCCGGUGUAGCGGUGAAAUGCGUAGAGAUCGGGAGGAACGCCAGUGGCGAAGGCGGCCACCUGGGCUGUCCCUGACGCUCAGACCCGAAAGCUGGGGGAGCGAACGGGAUUAGAUACCCCGGUAGUCCCAGCCCUAAACGAUGCUCACUAGGUGUCGGGGGGUCACUCCCUCGGUGCCGAAGCUAACGCAUUAAGUGAGCCGCCUGGGGAGUACGGCCGCAAGGCUAAAACUCAAAGGAAUUGACGGGGACCCGCACAAGCGGUGGAGCAUGUGGUUUAAUUCGAUGCUAAGCG